Molecule: long non-coding RNA, 598 nt
Organism: Cyprinus carpio carpio
Lineage: Eukaryota; Metazoa; Chordata; Actinopteri; Cypriniformes; Cyprinidae
Source: Ensembl
AUGAUUAAAAUGCCAUGUCAAUAUGAAUAUGAGGCUCAAGGAAGUAUCCAGCAGUUGUCCCUACAGUGGAGAAGCCCCAGGAACCAGCUGCUCUGUCACCUGAUCAAGCACAAAACGUACAGCAACUGCACAGCUGGAUAUUCAGUGCACUACAGCCCAGGGAAUAUUACUCUCAUCAUCGCUGAGGUGAAGCAGGAGGAUUUUGGGAGGCAUGUGUGUUCUGUGAGCAAGCUUCAUGAAUUCUCAGACUUCAGCAUCGACUUAAACCAGAAGGAAGAUCUCUCUACUGAAUUACCAAAAGGCAAGGUAGAUCAGUCAGGUUCUGCAAAGGAUCAUUUCUUCCUUCUUGGCUGCAGUCUUUUUGUGUCCAUUUUUGGGUAAUAAAACAAGAAUAAUGUUCAUCAUCACUUUUUUCACACUGAGAUAGGGGAUGCCUGGGAUUUAUACAGAAUAAAAAGUCAGUGUUUUAUAAUUGGGUUUUUUGUUUGUUUGUUUUUUUAUUAAAGUACCACUGGAUGGCAGUAUACUCAAAAAUAUAACAAUACACCAUUUUUAAGCUAUAAAGUCUACAAUACUUGAUGGUUAAUGUUAAAAUAAC